GACGAACGCUGGCGGCAUGCCUAAUACAUGCAAGUCGAGCGAACAGAUGAAGUGCUUGCACUUCUGACGUUAGCGGCGAACGGGUGAGUAACACGUAAGGAAUCUACCUAUAAGCGGGGGAUAACAUUCGGAAACGGGUGCUAAUACCGCAUAAUAUCUUCUUCCGCAUGGAAGAAGAUUGAAAGACGGCUCUGCUGUCACUUAUAGAUGACCUUGCGGUGCAUUAGUUAGUUGGUGGGGUAAUGGCCUACCAAGACAAUGAUGCAUAGCCGACCUGAGAGGGUGAUCGGCCACAUUGGGACUGAGACACGGCCCAAACUCCUACGGGAGGCAGCAGUAGGGAAUCUUCCGCAAUGAGCGAAAGCCUGACGGAGCAAUGCCGCGUGAGUGAAGAAGGCCUUCGGGUCGUAAAACUCUGUUAUAGGAGAAGAACAAAUUGUAGAGUAACUGCUACAGUCUUGACGGUAUCUUAUCAGAAAGCCACGGCUAACUACGUGCCAGCCGCCGCAGUAA
RNAcentral lists this ribosomal RNA (513 nucleotides) under uncultured bacterium. RNAcentral describes it as "partial 16S ribosomal RNA". It matches the Rfam family "Bacterial small subunit ribosomal RNA", at positions 28 to 523 of the family's 1533-position model. The record is from RNAcentral.